Molecule: ribosomal RNA, 381 nt
Filed under: uncultured eukaryote
Lineage: Eukaryota
Description: partial 18S ribosomal RNA
Rfam family: Eukaryotic small subunit ribosomal RNA
Source: RNAcentral
CAAUAGCGUAUAUUAAAGCUGUUGCGGUUAAAAAGCUCGUAGUUGGAUUUCUGUCAAGGACAACUGGUCCGCCCUCCGGGUGAGCACAUAGUUUGGUCUUGACAUCUUGCUGGAAGCUGUUGCUGCACUUGGCUGUGUGGCGCAGUGUUCAGCACUUUCGCUUUGAGGAAAUUGGAGUGUUUCAAGCAGGCACAUGCCUUUGGACACAGUAGCAUGGAAUAAUUAGAUUGGGCUUUUGCUCCAAUUUGUCGGUUUCUGGAGCUGAGGUGAGUAUUAAUGGGGAUUGUUGGGGGCAUCCGAAUUUAGCCGUCAGAGGUGAAAUUCUUGGAUCUGCUAAAGACGGACAACUGCGAAAGCGUUUGCCCAGGAUGUUUUCAUUGA